AACAAACGCUGGCGGCGUGCCUAAUACAUGCAAGUCGAACGGGGAAAGCUUUCGGGUGAGUACUAGUGGCGCACGGGUGAGGAACGCGUGGGUAAUUUUCCUUGAAGUGGGGGAUAACUAGUCGAAAGAUUAGCUAAUACCGCAUAAGACCACGAAAUCUGAGGAUUUUGAGGUAAAAGGUUUUUCGCUUCAAGAUAAGCCCGCGUAAGAUUAGCUAGUUGGUGAGGUAAUGGCUCACCAAGGCGACGAUCUUUAGCUGGUCUGAGAGGAUGAUCAGCCACACUGGAACUGAGACACGGUCCAGACUCCUACGGGAGGCAGCAGUAGGGAAUAUUGCACAAUGGAGGAAACUCUGAUGCAGCGACGCCGCGUGAGUGAUGAAGGACUUCGGUUCGUAAAGCUCUGUCGCAUGGGAAUAAUAAAUGAAGGUACCAUGCAAGAAAGGAUCGGCUAACUUCGUGCCAGCAGCCGCCGCGG
Molecule: ribosomal RNA, 477 nt
Filed under: uncultured bacterium
Lineage: Bacteria
Description: partial 16S ribosomal RNA
Rfam family: Bacterial small subunit ribosomal RNA
Source: RNAcentral